RNAcentral lists this ribosomal RNA (1065 nucleotides) under Triticum aestivum (bread wheat). RNAcentral describes it as "partial small subunit ribosomal RNA". Lineage: Eukaryota; Viridiplantae; Streptophyta; Magnoliopsida; Poales; Poaceae. The record is from RNAcentral.
GAAGUCAAGAAAGCACUAGACAUUAUAGGUGACUUGAAGGCGCCCGGUCCAGAUGGUAUGCCAUCGGUGUUUUAAAAAAACUUGUCGUUAAUGGGGGUUGAGAUUGUUCGAGAGGUGCUGCAAGUACUGAAUGGGGGAGAGAUGCCAGCAGAAUGGAAUGACACUUGGGUGACACUUAUUUUGAAGGUGAAACAACCAGAGGCUAUGAAAGAUCUGCGACCUAGUUCCCUUUGCAAUGUGCUUUACAAGUUAAUCUCGAAGGUGCUUGCAAACCGGUUAAAAAUCAUCUUGUCAGAAAUUAUUGCACCAAACCAGAGUGCUUUUGUGCCGGGGCGUAUCAUCAUGGAUAACAUUCUUUUUUAGAGAAAAGUUAGUCACCCUAUGCAAAACAAGAGGCACAGGUCUAUGGGCUUGGCGGUGGUGAAACUUGAUAUGAGUACGGCUUACGAUAGAGUUGAGUGACACUUUCUAGUGGAAAUGAUGAGUAAUAUGGGUUUUGCGGAUAGAUUGAUACAACUUGUUAUGAAAUGCUGCACCAUGGUGAAAUAUGGCUUCAAAUUAAAUGGAAAUCUGACGGAUGAGGUCAUUCUCAUUCCACGAAGAGGCUUGCACCAAGGGGAUCCCAUCUCUCCCUACCUCUUUCUCACUUGCGCUGAAGCGUUCUCAUGUCUUCUCCAUUCGGCAGAGAUGGAUGGCAGGUUGGAGGGAGUAAGAGUGGCGGCAAAUGCACCAAGUUUUAAUCGCUUGCUGUAUGUUGAUGACUCUUUGAUACUGAUGAAGGUGGAUGACGAUAGUGCCCAUCACCUGCUUGAUAUCCUUGCUUUGUAUGAAGCAUGUUCUGGCCAAACAAUCAAUGUAGACAAGUCUUCGUCCAUGUUUAGUAAGAACAGGAAAAGGAGAUGCCGACUGAGUUUCAUGGAGAAGAUGGGGAUCAAAACAGAGGCUAGGCAUGAGAAGUACCUUGGACUCCCGAUUUAUGUUGGUAGAUCGAGGAGAAAAGCGUUUGAAUUUCUGAAGGAACGUAUGUGGAAGAGGGUACAAGGUUGGCAAGAAAAAUGGCUAUAA